RNAcentral lists this ribosomal RNA (377 nucleotides) under uncultured eukaryote. RNAcentral describes it as "partial 18S ribosomal RNA". It matches the Rfam family "Eukaryotic small subunit ribosomal RNA", at positions 592 to 976 of the family's 1831-position model. The record is from RNAcentral.
CAAUAGCGUAUAUUUAAGUUGCUGCAGUUAAAAAGCUCGUAGUUGGAUUUCGGGUGGGAAUGGCCGGUCCGCCGUUUCGGUGUGCACUUGCUACGCCCACCUUGCUGCCGGGGACGUGCUCUUGAGUUCACGCUCGGGACACGGAGUCGGCGAGGUUACUUUGAGUAAAUUAGAGUGUUCAAAGCAGGCCUACGCUCUGAAUACAUUAGCAUGGAAUAACACGAUAGGACUCUGGCCUAUCUUGUUGGUCUGUAGGACCGGAGUAAUGAUUAAGAGGGACAGUCGGGGGCAUUCGUAUUUCAUUGUCAGAGGUGAAAUUCUAGGAUUUAUGAAAGACGAACUACUGCGAAAGCAUUUGCCAAGGAUGUUUUCAUUAA